This 657-nucleotide long non-coding RNA is filed under the name Parus major (Great Tit). RNAcentral describes it as "lncRNA (ENSPMJG00000000380.1)". The record is from RNAcentral. Lineage: Eukaryota; Metazoa; Chordata; Aves; Passeriformes; Paridae.
CCCAGCUCAGCUUCAUCCAGGGCCCCGUGGCCUCCCGUUCUCCGCCUGGCCACCAUUGGGGUCCAGCUCGGCCCUGCCAGGCCAUGCAGGCUGUGGCACAGUGGGGCCUGCCCUAACAAAGCUCAGUUACCUUUCAAGGCCAGAAGCAAGAGAGAGAUCUCCCAGGCUUGCUCAUAUUUAAAAUGUGGAUUUCACAGAGGUGGCCCCACCUUUCAAAUGGUUUAAUAAGUCGUCAAUUCUCAGCUAGCCAGCAAAUGGAUUUUUCCAGACACAGAGGAAGCUCUUAGCAGCUUCUCUCAGGCAAAUAAUUUCCAUGGGUGGUUUCUUUCUUCCUUACUAAAUAUCAAUUAAUCCAAAACCAGCACAAAAACAUACUAAGUAUUCCAUGUGUAACGGAUAUACGUAUACUUUGACACUGCAGUACAUGUAUAAUUUAUAACAUUUCAUUAGCAUUCUCAAUUCAGGUUUCAUUCUCCCUCUGGAUAGAAAACAAUUAUGAUCCACUCUGGUUGAGAGCACAAGCAGACAAGGGCUUGGCUACACAUAAAGAAAGAUGGAUACUUUUUUGGUCAGAUCAGGUCAACUGUCCCAUCUAUGCCCCCUCACAGCUUUUUACCUACCCUCAACCUACUUCCAGGUAAUGUGGAAGAAUGAGAA